UAAGCGAACAAGGUUUCCGUAGGUGAACCUGCGGAAGGAUCAUUACCGAGUGUAGGGUUCCUAGCGAGCCCAACCUCCCACCCGUGUUUACUGUACCUUAGUUGCUUCGGCGGGCCCGCCAUUCAUGGCCGCCGGGGGCUCUCAGCCCCGGGCCCGCGCCCGCCGGAGACACCACGAACUCUGUCUGAUCUAGUGAAGUCUGAGUUGAUUGUAUCGCAAUCAGUUAAAACUUUCAACAAUGGAUCUCUUGGUUCCGGCAUCGAUGAAGAACGCAGCGAAAUGCGAUAACUAGUGUGAAUUGCAGAAUUCCGUGAAUCAUCGAGUCUUUGAACGCACAUUGCGCCCCCUGGUAUUCCGGGGGGCAUGCCUGUCCGAGCGUCAUUGCUGCCCAUCAAGCACGGCUUGUGUGUUGGGUCGUCGUCCCCUCUCCGGGGGGGACGGGCCCCAAAGGCAGCGGCGGCACCGCGUCCGAUCCUCGAGCGUAUGGGGCUUUGUCACCCGCUCUGUAGGCCCGGCCGGCGCUUGCCGAACGCAAAUCAAUCUUUCCAGGUGACCUCGGAUCAAGACGUACCUCGCCCA
Molecule: ribosomal RNA, 579 nt
Filed under: Alternaria sp.
Lineage: Eukaryota; Fungi; Ascomycota; Dothideomycetes; Pleosporales; Pleosporaceae
Description: eukaryotic LSU rRNA
Rfam family: 5.8S ribosomal RNA (bases 228-381)
Source: RNAcentral